RNAcentral lists this non-coding RNA (23 nucleotides) under Cricetulus griseus (Chinese hamster). Lineage: Eukaryota; Metazoa; Chordata; Mammalia; Rodentia; Cricetidae. The record is from RNAcentral.
UGCAGGAUUUGAGUGUAGGAAGC